Molecule: ribosomal RNA, 418 nt
Filed under: Gambierdiscus australes
Lineage: Eukaryota; Dinophyceae; Gonyaulacales; Pyrocystaceae
Description: SSU rRNA
Rfam family: Eukaryotic small subunit ribosomal RNA
Source: RNAcentral
AUGCAUGUCUCAGUUUAAGCAGCUCCAUAGCAACACUGUGCAUGGCUCAUUAAAACAGCCACAACCUGGGUCGUGGUCCUGCUACAUGGAUAUCUUCGGCAAUUCUGCAGCUAAUACAUGCACCAGCAUUCACCUGUGGUGAGUUGUGGUUGUUGCAUUCAGAAUUAAUGCAAGCUGUGCUUGAUGACCAGAUGAAUCAUUACAACUGCAUGGAUUGUAGUUUGUACACUGUUGAUGCUCUAUCAAGGUUUCUGACCUAUCAGCUUCCGAUGGCAGGGUAAAGGCCUACCGUGGCAGUGACAGGUGACGGAGGAUUAGGGUUUGACUCCGGAGAGGGAGCCUGAGAAAUGGCUCCCACAUCUAAGGAAGGCAGCAGGCGCGUGAAUUGCCCAAUCCUGAGAGAGGGAGGUAGUGACAA